UUCUCUGCGACGUGCCCUCCCUCUGACCUACUCGUGGUCUUGAACGGUGCGUCCAUGAACAUCAUUGUUCGCCGCUGCCACUUCACCCAGCUCAUCACGUGCGCCGUCUUGCGACGCUGCUUCUUCCCUCUGUGAGAUGCAGAUAUCUGUUGCGUGGUGCCUAGACGCGCAUAUCACAUACCCUCCUCCCUUCCUCCGUGUGACCCCCGCACCCCUUGUUCCAUCAUAUCGGCCAGCACAGGGAAACUCACACCUACACCCCAUCUCGCAUAGAUUGCCCAUUGGCGACGCAUCACCGCAUCGCCGGUAAUUCGGUGACGCCCGCUUCUGUCUUGAUUGGUUAGGCGCUUUGCCAAUCUUUUUUUUUUUAGUAGGCCGUCUUUGACGUCGCGCAUGUCGCGAGUGCUUACGGUGCUGCUAACGUACGACGACCCGGAGUGCGGCGGCGCGGCGGAUGCGCUGGUGGAGCACCUGGAGCGUGAUGCGGUCGCUGUGGAGGGGCACUGCCAGCUCUCCGUGAAGCCGAUUCAGGUGCUGCAAAACGGUUCUCACCGCGAUGCCCUCUACGGCUCACUGCAAGACCUGUUUCAAAUGAAACCGCAAGACAUCUACGUCAUCGCGUUCCUCAAGGGAUCGCAGCCGGAGGAGUACCGCAAGGUGAAUGAGCUGUGCAACAGCGUGCGUCCCAAUCCCGUGAAGUGCCAGGUGCUGACACACUUGGCGAACUACAACGAUGUCGGCCUCAUCAUUCGUAAUUUGGUGCGUCUGGUGCUGGAUGAGAUGACAAAGGAGGAGGCGAGCCUCGGCAGCACUGAGCCGUCCAAGUAGGAGAGGGGUGCAUGCUUGUGUGUGUGUGUACGAAUGACGAAAGAAGAGGGAGUGUAUGAAGAGGAGGGGGGCGGUUAUGUGAGUGACGUUCAGCUGCUGCGCGCAGAAGAUGAGGCUCCCAUGUUCUUCUUCGCUCUCCUCCCCUUCCUUGGCUUCGUGGGCGCGAUUGCCCCCUCUGCUGCUUCUGAAUCGACUCAGCCUGCGAAUUCCACCCACCGAUUCGAUCCUCCUUCUGCAGGGCACCCUUGCGGAUUCACUGCAAGCAAUCCUGCUCCCGCUCCACUGCAGCACCUGAGGUGGUUCUGUGAGUUCGUGAAAGGGCCUUGCUAUACUGAAUGCUCGAGCACGGUGAGUGAGAACGGAGUCGGUGUCGUGGCCCACGUAGCGGCCGUGCACUCUUCGCCUCUGCUCUCAUUUCUUGACCCCAAGCCCCUUCUUGCCCUUUAG
This 1275-nucleotide unclassified non-coding RNA is filed under the name Leishmania donovani. Its description in RNAcentral is "gene:LdHU3.27.2010(CDS-product:hypothetical_prote in_conserved)". The record is from RNAcentral. Lineage: Eukaryota; Euglenozoa; Kinetoplastea; Trypanosomatida; Trypanosomatidae.